This is a long non-coding RNA of Rosa chinensis, 1038 nucleotides long. RefSeq lists it as uncharacterized. The record is from RefSeq and is a predicted model, not a curated record. The transcript has 4 exons. Lineage: Eukaryota; Viridiplantae; Streptophyta; Magnoliopsida; Rosales; Rosaceae.
UUGCAGGUUUAUGGUUUCUGAAGACUUCAACGACCACAAGACUUCCAACCUUAUCUCCUCCUCGAUGCAGCUGCCUCUCUCCUUCUUCCCUAAAAGCCCCCGUGCUGUGAGAAAUGAGAAAUCAAACAGUUACUGGGAAGCAGAGUCACCUCCUAAUUAUGACAGAGUUGGAAUUGAGAAUUUCAUCCGUGCAAAGUGUUUUGGUGCUCAUGUCAUCCAUUAGGCAUGAAUCAAAGAACUGGGUUCCAAGGAUGGCAAACUAAAAUCACCUCCGAGGGUAACUGGGCAGAAAACUUCUGUUUAUAGAGCAAGGCGUGAAAUUAGAAGCAAGCAUGCAUUGUGAUGUCAAAUAUAUUGAACGGCCUUAUGAGGAGCAGAAAGGUGCAUACAGCUGGUAGAAUAAAGUCAAUAAACAGCACACCUAAGUAGUGAUGAUUUGAAACCGAAAAGCUUUGAGAAGAAAUCACAAUUGAAGCAAGUCAAAAACCACGAGAGCUGCUCAAGAAAUUAGAACCGGUAGCUCCAAAAGCUAAACCAGCAAGCCAGGGAGCUAGUGCUUUCAAUUUGCGUACAGUGGAUUAUAUAUGCUACUGAUUUGUUCAAUAUAUAUAUGCUCUCUAUGGAGGACUCAAGAUUGAUUGAUUUUGUCUGCAACCUGCCCCCCAAGUUAUUCAGUUGGCCACACAAAAGGGGUGAAGCAUUGGCCAACAAGUUCCUAGCAACCUGACGCCCCCUAAUCUACAAUAUUAGUGUGGUGGUGCUUAUGAAAGAGUUUGCUUACAGCUACUGUUGUCCGUCUGAAAUCUUAUCUCUUAUGUUGUUUUCUUGGGCCAGAUUGGGAACGGCUAUAAUGCACGUCCCACAGGCAAUGCAGUUUGUUAAGUCUGAAUCAUCAAUUGAGUCAGAUCCCCUAGAUUAAUCUGUUCAUAACUUCUAAUCCCCUAGAUUAAUCACCCAUAAAUUAAUCCCCUAGAUUAAUUCCUUAGAUUAAUAUCCUAGAUUAAUCUGUUCAUAAUUGUAAUUAUUUUUCACCUUAGC